RNAcentral lists this ribosomal RNA (223 nucleotides) under Escherichia coli. Its description in RNAcentral is "partial 23S ribosomal RNA". It matches the Rfam family "Bacterial large subunit ribosomal RNA", at positions 1140 to 1362 of the family's 2925-position model. The record is from RNAcentral. Lineage: Bacteria; Pseudomonadati; Pseudomonadota; Gammaproteobacteria; Enterobacterales; Enterobacteriaceae.
GCUCACUGGUCGAGUCGGCCUGCGCGGAAGAUGUAACGGGGCUAAACCAUGCACCGAAGCUGCGGCAGCGACACUAUGUGUUGUUGGGUAGGGGAGCGUUCUGUAAGCCUGUGAAGGUGUACUGUGAGGUAUGCUGGAGGUAUCAGAAGUGCGAAUGCUGACAUAAGUAACGAUAAAGCGGGUGAAAAGCCCGCUCGCCGGAAGACCAAGGGUUCCUGUCCAA